CCGGGGCUUCUCCGUUUGACAGAGACNGGAGAGA
Molecule: transfer RNA, 34 nt
Filed under: Cyrtodactylus batucolus
Lineage: Eukaryota; Metazoa; Chordata; Lepidosauria; Squamata; Gekkonidae
Description: partial tRNA-Cys
Source: RNAcentral